RNAcentral lists this small RNA (626 nucleotides) under Pongo abelii (Sumatran orangutan). Its description in RNAcentral is "retained intron". Lineage: Eukaryota; Metazoa; Chordata; Mammalia; Primates; Hominidae. The record is from RNAcentral.
UUGAAAUCUUUUCAAAUUUGUGUUCAUAUUUUAAGACAUUAAAUUUUUUCAGUAAAUAAUUUAAAACAGUACUCUUUGUAUUUGAGAUGAAUAAACAUGAGAGUUAAAUUGUAGAGUUUAUCCUAAAAACUUGAUUUAAUUUAUGAUAAUACUGAGGUAAUAAAUAGAUUGCUCCUUUCCUUUCAUAUUUUUCUAAAAUAUUCACCCUCUUUUACACUUGUUCAUCAUACAUUAAAACUAAAAUAAUCUGUUUACUUGAUCAAAAAAAGUAUUUUUAUUUAAUUUCUGAAAUAUUUCUGAGUUGCAUGAAACCAUUCUUUUCAAAUGUGUCAUGAUGUAGCCUCGGAAUGCUGCUCGAAUAAGUGAAAAGAGAAAAGAGUAUAUGGAUGCCUGUGGGGAAGCAAACAAUCAGAAUUUCCAGCAGCGAUACCACGCAGAAGAAGUAGAAGAAAGAUUUGGAAGAUUCAAGCCAGGAGUUAUUAGUGAGGAACUUCAAGAUGCACUAGGUGUGACAGACAAGAGUCUUCCACCUUUUAUCUAUCGGAUGCGCCAGCUAGGGUACCCACCAGGGUGGCUCAAAGAGGCUGAAUUGGAGAAUUCAGGGCUUGCACUCUAUGAUGGAAAAG